CAAAAAUAGAAUUAACAAGGAAGUAGCUGGGCCAAUUCAACUGACAUAUAGUACUAUAAUAUAUUAAUAUUCCUCCAUUGUUACACUUAAACUUAAAUUUCUCUCUUCCUCCACACUUGUUCAUCCAAGAAAUAAGGGUAAAAGAGGUGUGUAUUUUGGUGUUGGUGCAGUGCCAAGAGAUUGGUGUAAAUGAUUAUAAUGGAAUCAACAUGAGUCAGCUUAGUGAUCCAACGGUGAUGAAUCAGUUCACCAACAUAGUCCACCACCCUCACUGAGCAUCUCAUGAACUCUCAGAUUGCUCAAAAAGCCACCUAUGUGAUCAGCUGCAUGAUUUUUUAUUAAUUAAUUUUGGUUAAAUAAAUGGCAGGGAAGAGGAGUGGAAUAAGUCUUUUAACUAUUCUUCUAAUCUGGAUUUCUUGUCCAAAUGCAUUGCUCAAACUCAAGGAGACUUGCCGCAGAGGUUGUGUACAGCAGCAGAGCUGAAGUUCUACUUCACAAACUUCAUUGCUAGAAAGAAAUCCACAAUAUCUUUUCUCAAACCAAACACAAAUUGUAACUCACCCGAUUUCACGGACUCUCAAGAGAUGCCGGCCCGGACUUCUAACUGUCAGUCUUGCUGUGAGGGCUUCUUCUGCAUGAUACGAUCGUAUUGCCCAACGAACACACAAGAAAUACCUUGUGCUGGCAGGCAUUAAUUACUGCCUAAUGGGAUCUACUUCUGAGAAACCUUGCUACAGGUUGACAUCGUGCAAUCCCAACUCAAGUACACAGAAUAUAAGCCAAUAUGGAGCAAUGUUGAUUGUGAGUUUCCUUCACGUGAAUUUAUGGUUGUGUUGGAGAUGAUAAGGAACAGCAACGAGGUUAAUUGUCGAACAUUCUUGUUCAUCUUCUACAACUGUUAUGAGCAAGUCAUCACAAUCGGGGAAAAGAGGCAUGCUAGAUCAAGGGAGACUGCAGUGAGAAGUGUCAAGGAAAAUGCUCGUGCACAAGCACGAUGGCAAGCUGCAAAGGAUGCAAUUCCCAUUCAUUUUCACGCAGAACGUGGUUCAUCCUCCAAUACGUGAGAUUGAAGACGCUA
This is a long non-coding RNA of Salvia splendens (bonfire salvia), 1078 nucleotides long. RefSeq lists it as uncharacterized. Lineage: Eukaryota; Viridiplantae; Streptophyta; Magnoliopsida; Lamiales; Lamiaceae. The transcript is spliced from 5 exons. The record is from RefSeq and is a predicted model, not a curated record.